RNAcentral lists this ribosomal RNA (490 nucleotides) under uncultured Candidatus Babelota bacterium. Its description in RNAcentral is "bacterial SSU rRNA". It matches the Rfam family "Bacterial small subunit ribosomal RNA", at positions 38 to 528 of the family's 1533-position model. The record is from RNAcentral.
GGCGGCGUGCUUAACACAUGCAAGUCGAGCGAGAAAGUCCUUCGGGAUUAGUACAGCGGCGGACGGGUGAGGAAUACAUAGGAACCUGCCCUUUGGUGAGGAAUACUCUUGAGAAAUCGAGAAUAAUACCGCAUACGUCCCUACGGGGAGAAAGGCGGCUUUAAUGCUGUCGUCAAAGGAUGGGCUUAUGUGCUAUCAGCUAGUUGGUGGGGUAAUUGCCUACCAAGGCUAUGACGGCUAACCGGCCUGAGAGGGUGUACGGUCACACUGGAACUGAGACACGGUCCAGACUCCUAGGGGAGGCAGCAGUGGGGAAUAUUGCGCAAUGGGCGAAAGCCUGACGCAGCGACGCCGCGUGGAGGAUGAAGGUCUUAGGAUUGUAAACUCCUGUUAAGUGGGAAGAAAAACCUAUCAGUAAUAUGGAUAGGUUAUGACGGUACCACUAGAGAAAGCACCGGCUAACUUCGUGCCAGCAGCCGCGGUAAUACGA